AUACGUAGGGUGCGAGCGUUGUCCGGAAUUACUGGGCGUAAAGAGCUCAUAGGUGGUUUGUCGCGUCGUCUGUGAAAUUCCGGGGCUUAACUCCGGGCGUGCAGGCGAUACGGGCAUAACUUGAGUACUGUAGGGGAGACUGGAAUUCCUGGUGUAGCGGUGAAAUGCGCAGAUAUCAGGAGGAACACCGGUGGCGAAGGGGGGUCGCUGGGCAGUAACGGACGCUGAGGAGCGAAAGCAUGGGUAGCGAACAGGAUUAGAUACCCUGGUAGUCCAUGCCGUAAACGGUGGGCGCUAGGUGUAGGGGUCUUCCACGACUUCUGUGCCGUAGCUAACGCAUUAAGCGCCCCGCCUGGGGAGUACGGCCGCAAGGCUAAAACUCAAAGGAAUUGACGGGG
This 398-nucleotide ribosomal RNA is filed under the name uncultured bacterium. Its description in RNAcentral is "partial 16S ribosomal RNA". It matches the Rfam family "Bacterial small subunit ribosomal RNA", at positions 523 to 918 of the family's 1533-position model. The record is from RNAcentral.